GCGGCUGUGGUGUAGUGGUUAGCACUUGAGCCUUCCAAGCUCACGACCCGGGUUCGAAUCCCGGCAGCCGCACCA
This 75-nucleotide transfer RNA is filed under the name Candidatus Methanofastidiosia archaeon. Its description in RNAcentral is "tRNA-Gly". It matches the Rfam family "tRNA". From Rfam's summary of the family: Transfer RNA (tRNA) molecules are approximately 80 nucleotides in length. Their secondary structure includes four short double-helical elements and three loops (D, anti-codon, and T loops). RNAcentral also lists the same sequence under 1 other name. The record is from RNAcentral. Lineage: Archaea; Methanobacteriati; Methanobacteriota; Candidatus Methanofastidiosia.